AGUGAACGCUGGCGGUAGGCCCAACACAUGCAAGUCGAACGGCAGCACAGUAAGAGCUUGCUCUUACGGGUGGCGAGUGGCGGACGGGUGAGGAAUACAUCGGAAUCUACUUUUUCGUGGGGGAUAACGUAGGGAAACUUACGCUAAUACCGCAUACGACCUACGGGUGAAAGCAGGGGAUCUUCGGACCUUGCGCGAUUGAAUGAGCCGAUGUCGGAUUAGCUAGUUGGCGGCGUAAAGGCCCACCAAGGCGACGAUCCGUAGCUGGUCUGAGAGGAUGAUCAGCCACACUGGAACUGAGACACGGUCCAGACUCCUACGGGAGGCAGCAGUGGGGAAUAUUGGACAAUGGGCGCAAGCCUGAUCCAGCCAUACCGCGUGGGUGAAGAAGGCCUUCGGGUUGUAAAGCCCUUUUGUUGGGAAAGAAAAGCAGCAGGUUAAUACCCCGCUGUUCUGACGGUACCCAAAGAAUAAGCACCGGCUAACUUCGUG
This 492-nucleotide ribosomal RNA is filed under the name uncultured bacterium. Its description in RNAcentral is "partial 16S ribosomal RNA". It matches the Rfam family "Bacterial small subunit ribosomal RNA", at positions 29 to 507 of the family's 1533-position model. The record is from RNAcentral.